AAGAGAGAAAAACUUUCAAAUUUUCAUCUUGAUUUUCUUGCUUGAUUUAUGAAAAAUCCAAAGACCAACCUUAAUCCAUACCAAUUAAUCUUGAGUUAAGUUUAGAAGGAAGCUUUUGGUGGAGUUACUUGAGGAAAAAGCUCUUGAGUUGCUUGUUAUUUUGGGGUUUUGAGGUAAAAUUUCUAGAAAAUAUCUCUUUUUAUUUGUUUCUUGAGAUUUAUGCAAGAUAUGUUAUGAUUGAAGUUGAAGGAAGCAAGUUUAUGGUAAUUUCAUGAUUUUGUUAGGGUUUGAUUAAUUUUCAAUUUAGACAUAUGUUGGUUAUAGUUAGUUUUGUAAUUAAAAUAAGUACUCUAUAUAUCCUAUAUUGUGAACUUGAUUGAGGCUAUCUUGUGGUGAAAGUGUAGCUUUGAAAUAGUUGGAAGAAAUUGGUAAAUACAAAGGAAAUGUUGCUGAAAUUUUUCCCAAGGAGACUCUGAGCAGUUUUGAAAAAUCUAUCAUAUCUUGGUGUAAAAAAAUUCAAAUUAAACUCUGCUUAUUGCAUUUGAAACCAGAUUUAGAGUACUUUCUACUGUAAAAAUUUCAGAAUUUUUCUCAAUUCUUAUGAAUAUCUGUGAUUUUUUAAAAUUGACUGAAUUUUCAUUCCUGUUCUGUCUUUCUACUGGAUAAAGCAGCCAUUUGAGAUUGGAUUUUGACUGACUUGUGGAUAGAAUCUUGUGAAGGUGUCUUCUGAGAAAUGUUACUCUUUGAAUUUGUUUUCCAACAGUACAAAGUUUAAAAAUUUUGAAUUUAAAAAAAUUGAGAUAUGAUUUUUCAAAUAACAUCGCGCAAAACUGAAAAAACAGCCCUUAGUUUCUUAAAACUGUCCUUACUUUCAUUUCCUACUUUAAGUUGGAGUUGUUAAACCAUUUUGGGUUUGUUUAUGAUUGAAAUGAGGAAAUUCUUGGUUACUCAUGUCCCUUAGAGCUAAAUGUUUUCUUUUCACUCCAAAACCAUAUUUGCACCUUUGUACUAGUAGUUACUCGAAUUUUUUUUGGUUCACCUAAAUUUUGAAUGGUUGAACCAUAAUUUUUCUCUUGAUUAUUCUUAGAUUUGUCGGUGAUCAAGGGCAUAAUCCGGAAAGAAAAUUUUGAUGUUAUUUUAGUUAAACUGGUGAGUGUUCUUUGCAUGUUGUGCUUCCAACAACUAUGUGAAAUGUUGUGAAUGUUUGCUUAAAUGUUAAAUAUUUUUCAAUGAUUGUUAAAUAAAUUUUCAAUAGGCAAGUGUGUACUUUAUCGCACUCGACUUAAGUGAAUUUGAAAAUUUCAAUGAUUAAAUGAUUGAAUGUUACUUGUGCAAGAAUAUAAGUCUUUUGGCUGAAAUUGACCCUUACCCUUCGUUGCCAGUUGACUUAAGCCAGAAGCGGAUUCGAUCGGCGACUGGUGAUCGUGGGACAAUGUUUGGUAUACUCGAGUAUUACCACGAAAUUUGGUAAAGAACUGACCAAUGAAUUCAAUGCAAUGAUAUUAAUGAAUGAAUGACAAGAUCAAUGAAGGAGUUUUCACUUGCAAACGUUUUUUAAUGUCGAAAGGAUAAGGAAAAUGGUUGGCGAAUGAAUGAAUGAAUGGUUCCAAGUGAGCAUGUAUCCUUCUAAUAAUUAAGUGUUUAUUUCUUGAAUGACUAAAUAUUACUGUGCAAAGUAUGCAAAUUGUUAAAUGUAAUGUUUCCAUGAUUUUCCUACCUGAUUGUUUGUUUAGGAACCUCACUGGAUUUUAACUCAUUCUUUUAGUUUUUAUUUUCUUUACAGGAAUGAAAGGUCGAAGCAAUUGAAUGUGAACUAGAGUGUAUAACCCUCUUAUACUUAUACUUUUGGUUGAUAGGAUAUAUUUUGACAUUUGACGUUAUAUUAUACAUUUGAUUUUUGGGUUGUAAAUAAGUUUGUAUUUUGGUUGAAUGGUAGAACUUAAAUGUUAUUUUGGAGGCUUGAAUGAUUAAUCUUGAGAGUUGAUUGAGUGAGUAAGUGAAUUCUAAUGAGAGUUAGGCGGACAGUCCGCCAAAUCCUUGAAUAUGCCCUAAAAGAAGGUGGGAU
This 2065-nucleotide long non-coding RNA is filed under the name Coffea arabica (coffee). RNAcentral's name for it is "long non-coding RNA (CARA_LNC006117)". Lineage: Eukaryota; Viridiplantae; Streptophyta; Magnoliopsida; Gentianales; Rubiaceae. The record is from RNAcentral.